Molecule: ribosomal RNA, 255 nt
Filed under: Triticum aestivum (bread wheat)
Lineage: Eukaryota; Viridiplantae; Streptophyta; Magnoliopsida; Poales; Poaceae
Description: partial small subunit ribosomal RNA
Source: RNAcentral
ACGAAGAAAGGCAAGAAUGCAACAGCAAUCAUUCUGAACAAGGCCAUUUGGAAGGGAGUGAAUCUUUGCAUUAAGGUGUUCGAGCCCUUGGUGAAGGUGCUACCCUAGGUUGAUGGUGAUGUGUGGCCGCCCAUGGGCUUUGUGUAUGGAGAGAUUGUGAAGUCAAAGAAGGAGACAAAAGAGGCUUUUGGCAAUGUCGAGCGUCAUUACAAAGAUGCGCUAGCCAUUGUUUACAAGAGUAUGAAAGAUAUUUGA